Molecule: non-coding RNA, 357 nt
Organism: Pelodiscus sinensis (Chinese soft-shelled turtle)
Lineage: Eukaryota; Metazoa; Chordata; Testudines; Trionychidae
Source: RefSeq, a predicted model, not a curated record
UGGAAAAUCAUUUUAAGAGAGAAAUAGUGCCUUUAAUUUCCAGAGAGAAAUUCCCUGCAGGGGAACUGGAAGGCUCAUACACACCCAAUUGCCCCACACACUGGCCAGGUCUGAGAGUGCUGACACUAUUGUAUGGGUUGGAACAAGCAAACAGUCACAUGGAUCUUGGUGUAUUCAAUGGUGGCCUCGGUGCUGGGAUCCUCGCAAAUUUGUUACUACACAGGAAACAUCAGUGCCCCACAGAUGCUGAUUGUGGAGUUCUUCAACCAGAGCAGUUCAAGGAGCCCAUGUCUUCCCAUGCUUUGGUCCUUCAAUGUCAGCAUGUUGGCUUUGGAGGCUCUGCCACAGCAUUCAUGG